This 506-nucleotide ribosomal RNA is filed under the name uncultured bacterium. RNAcentral describes it as "partial 16S ribosomal RNA". It matches the Rfam family "Bacterial small subunit ribosomal RNA", at positions 29 to 523 of the family's 1533-position model. The record is from RNAcentral.
AGUGAACGCUGGCGGUAGGCCUAACACAUGCAAGUCGAACGGCAGCACAGGAGAGCUUGCUCUCUGGGUGGCGAGUGGCGGACGGGUGAGGAAUACAUCGGAAUCUACUCUGUCGUGGGGGAUAACGUAGGGAAACUUACGCUAAUACCGCAUACGACCUACGGGCGAAAGCAGGGGAUCUUCUGACCUUGCGCGAUUGAAUGAGCCGAUGUCGGAUUAGCUAGUUGGCGGGGUAAAGGCCCACCAAGGCGACGGUCCGUAGCUGGUCUGAGAGGAUGAUCAGCCACACUGGAACUGAGACACGGUCCAGACUCCUACGGGAGGCAGCAGUGGGGAAUAUUGGACAAUGGGCGCAAGCCUGAUCCAGCCAUACCGCGUGGGUGAAGAAGGCCUUCGGGUUGUAAAGCCCUUUUGUUGGGAAAGAAAUCCAGCUGGCUAAUACCCGGUUGGGAUGACGGUACCCAAAGAAUAAGCACCGGCUAACUUCGUGCCAGCCGCCGCCGUAA